This is a non-coding RNA of Oryctolagus cuniculus (rabbit), 6115 nucleotides long. NCBI's taxonomy places the organism in Eukaryota, Metazoa, Chordata, Mammalia, Lagomorpha, Leporidae. The record is from RefSeq and is a predicted model, not a curated record.
GUAGCCGGCGUUCCUUGAUAAGGAAAAAAGAGGCAAUAUCGUAGAGGAAGGUGCCUUUCCACCAUAACAAGGAGCAUUCACGAAACAAUUCCUGUUUUUCAUAACGCACUGAAGACUUGCACUCUGGGCAAGAGGAACUAGAGUGGGACUUGGUGUGAUGUCACAAGCGAUCAGAAAGCUGAACAAAGUAACGCAAUUUGAAACAGUUUUUCAGACCUUGGACAACGGGCAACGCUGGCUUGUUUUGCCGGCGCGGGUAGGAACAAGAGGAGCCUUGGCUUUGUGAGGCAGCCUCUAGUCUGUAAUGCAGGGAAGAGAAACUCGGCAAGGAUCACUGAUGAGACAGUUUGGACUUCAGGGAAUUGGGGAGACCAAGUUGGUGGGAGCAUGGGAGCAGGAUUCUGGAGAGGAGGGAAGUCAUUGGAAGAAGAGCCUCCGAAAUCUGCUUGGGAGUACAUUUGAAUCUUUAAUUGACUACAAAUCAGCACGAAUGUCAUGUGAAACUGGCGAGGCAAGAGUAAUUAGAGGGGAGCAGUAAGGCAAACAAUGACCAGCGCGCACAGAGGGCUGGGAAUCAUUUGCGUUCAUGGUAACCAGAGUGGAGAGACUGUUGAACCUGCAGUAGAGACCUCAGCAGCAGUUUCGCAUCAGUAGUGGGUAAACUGGCCCUCCGCUGCGGGAUCCAGAGUACAAACUGCUGUAACUCUUCAGAAGCUGGGAACAAGCCCUAAAAGGAUCAGUGUUCAGUAGAUAACCCAACUUCCUGCCACCCCUCAGCCUGAUACUCUAUAAAGGACUACAACAAAAUCCAGGACUCAACAGUAUACUAAAAUGUGAGGCAUCCUAUCAAAAAUCAGCAGGUGUGCCAAGAGGUAGAGAACUAGCUCAUACAGUCAAUGGAAACAUAACCAGAAAUGGUGAGAGUAAUAGGAUGAACAGAGAAAGACUUUAAAUACUCCUAAUAAAUGUGUUCAGUAUGCUCAAGGAUUUAGGGGGAAAUAUGAGAAAAAUCUGGAGAAAUUAAAAGGAAAGAAGCAAAUGGAAUUUCUGGAGAUGAAAAAUAUAUCAGACAAAAUGGGAUAUAUUCUCCACAUGGGAUUGAUAGAACAUUAAGCACCAUGGUGGAAUGGGGGAGGGAGAUUAAUGAAUUUGAAGACGGCAAUAGAAAAUCCAAAUAACCCAGAGAAAGAAGACUUAAAAAUGAAUAAAUAGUUUCAGAGAUCCAUGGGACAACACAAAGAUGCCUAUUGUUUGCCAUGUACUUGCAACCUAAGAAAGGGAGUGAGGUUAGACAAAAAAUUAUUUGAAGAAAUAAUGAACAAAAGUGUUCUAAAUUUGAUGAAACCUGUAAACUAGAAACCCAAGAAAGUCAAAGAAAUCCAAAUAGGAUAAAUAUCAAAACUACUAGGGCAUGUCGUAGCCAUAUUGGUGGAAAAAAGUGAUAAAAAGGAAAAUCUUCAAAGCAGUUGGGGCUAGGGUGUGGGAGUAGGCACAUUCUGUAGAAACAAUAAUAAGAGUUUUCAUAGACUUCUCAUUAGAAAAUAUGCAAGCCCUGCACAUAAUGAAAUGACAACUUUAAGAGAAAAAGCCCAAACCAAAAAAAUCAAAAAUACUAUCAAUCUGGUACUCAGGCAGAUAAGCCCAGAAAGCCCACUUUUUGAAAUAGUACCAUCCCAGCUGUCAGGGCUCAGAAAACAGGACCCCAAAGUAUGGUGCUUGACAUGUUGCAUACUUUGAACUGAAGGAAAGAGGCUCAAAAGCAAGAUCUUUGUGACUCAUUUUGCUCCUUUCUUUGUGGAAGCAAGCCAUGGAAAUCAGAAUUUCUCUCCCCAAAACCUAGCCAGGAACCCUAGGAGGAUUGAAGAAACUUCCUCAUUUAAACAACUGACCUGUAGAUAUGUGAGGAAGAAAAAGAAAUGCUUAUUAUGAUAGACUACUGCAACCAACCAAAUGCAUAUUAAAUUUCUGUGCACAUUGGAAGGACAUAGACUGUGGCUUGCAGAUUCUGUGCAUGAGUAGUGCAACAAGGGUGUGACCCUGAAAACAAGAGGCUGCUUGCUCUAGAGAACACAUUCUGCAGAGGAUAAAGCCAGAGUAUGUUAUUGUUCCGUAGAUCCUUGUCAUUUUCUUCCCAGCUUCUUCUCUCAGUUUCUGGUAAAAUUAUGAGAACGUGGCAUGUAAAGCCUUGAUCUGAUCGUAGAAAAAUUUAACCCCCAUAAAAGUAGUAAUGACUCCUGUGUAAAUUUACAGCUUUUCCUUACCUAUAUUUAAACUGUUUGGCUGCUAGGCUCCAGAGUAAGUAAUUAGGAAUAAUCAAGUAAUUCACCAGGAGCAGCACAGACCCAAUGGUGAUUAUAUUCUAUCCCUAAACAAAGAGAAAUUUUCAGUGAAAAAAAAAAAAAAAGUAUUAUUGUAGUGAACGGGAGAAAUAGCAAAGCUCCUAAUCGCAAUUGCUAGUUAAGCAUUAACGAAACGAGAUCCACUCUCCCUAAGCAUGGUGAUAUUGGAUACCAGAAAUAAGCUGAAUCAAACAAGCAUCAACAGUACACCUGAAAAAAACCACAGCACAGUUACAAAGUAGGGUGCAGGGCAGGAUCUGGAUCCGGUUUCACAUUCUAAGUGGUAAUAGCAAAAUUCAACUUAGACAUCUUUAAACAAGGGAUUUGUGGGAUCCUAAAAAGGAAAAUUCAAGAGUAAGGAAGUGAAUUAAUCAGAAGAGACUAACACUAUAGCCAAUAAUUUCAAAAUUUUGGUGAAUUAACACCACAUAAGUUUACUUGUCCAGGCAACAAUUCAGUCCCACGUUCCUGGCCAAGCAAUGAUCCUGGGAAGUUGCCCUCCCGGGGGCUCCUCAGGCUUCUUCCAUUGUGUUUCUGUCUCUCAACCCUGGGUGUCCCCUCCAUUCAGCCAGCAGACAGGGAAAGCAAAUGGAAGAUCCUUUACAAGGGGUCAGGCUUGAAUGAGGACAUCAGAUCGGCCACCGUCCCUGGCUAGAACUCAGUCACACGGUCAUUCAUUUCAAGAGAGCUGAGAAAUACCAGGACAUAAAGGGACACAUGGUGAACUUUUAGCUGGUGCUUGCCAGCUGCCAUGGUAACCAAAUCCCCAUGAGAAGCACAGAGCCACGGUCCUCGAAUUCUAAGCAAGAGACAGAUCUACCUAAUUGCAUCGCCUCGGUCCCUUGCACAUUCCCGAGUUGAGGAAGUGACCCAGGAAUGCCGUAACUGGUGGCUUUGAGCUGACCAGAGCACACCUCUUGAGUUGGGGGCAUGGUCAGUUUUCCCUGAAGUACCUGGGCUGCAUGGGCAAGAGGUAAAUAUGUUAGAAAAUGGGAAAAGAUGAUGGAUGGGCAACUGUCCAUGUCCACACAAGGUUCUGGUUCCAGAAGAACUGAGAUACCAAGAAGUGCCGACAUAUCUCGAGGGUCUGUGCAACACUGUGACCUGGUUACUGCGCCUGUGCUUGGCAAUGUGGAAUAAGAGACAUAUCCCUCCUUCCCGUCUUAGUCUCAUGGCUGAGGCCCCUGUAACAAAAGACAGAUUCAUCAGAGAAAAGCAAGCAGAUUGAACAUGGUUUUCCAUGACACAGAGCCCUCACACAGAGUGAAGAUCUGAAGAAAUGGGUCAACUUGUACAUUUGUCAUACAAGGUUGCAUGAAGAAAUGGAUAGUUGUGGCGAAGCAUGACUGGACAAAGGGCUGUGACCCACUGUUGACAAACCAGGGGGCACUAGCAAAGCCUCGGUGUUCAAAUUCUCCCUCACCCCUCCCUGUCACUCUGUCUUUAGAGAUAAGCUUGUUCCGUCCCUAGGAGAUAGCACUUCUCCAACAGAGUUUAAUGAUGUGCUCCAGGGGCAGGUCAGGCUUUAGGACCUGCUUCUGGUAAGAAAAGUGAGGGGGAAGGGGAGAGCAGCCUGUUUCUGUCAUUUUCUCAAAUUCUUUCAACUUAAAAUAUUUGGGGAUAGCAUGUCCUGAACCCUAUUAACUGCCACGUAGGCAAGGUGAACAGAGUGAGAGCCCUGCUCCUGGCAAGCUGGGUAGAACUGAAGAAAUCCAAGGACAACAGCAGUAGUCCUAGCCUUGGUGUCCUUGGAACCUCAGAUUCCAUUGAACCUGGGAACCAGGCUAAAACGUGGAGAAGAGUAGUCCCAGCUAGAAGAUAAAACCCACAGGGGCUGCUAAUGAGAGCUGUUGGGAGGCUGAACAUCGCUUUGUCUUCCACCAAUGAUACAGGGAUUUAUUCUGGAAAUGAGCACACACAUUUUCUCAUCGAGAAAUCAAAACUCUGCUGCUUAGUCUAGGAUGAUAGAUUUUAAUCCCAUUGUUUCUUCAGCUAAUACUUGUACUUUCAGUCUGCUGGUCAUUGCUAGAAAAUGUCUCUGAUUGUGGGAAUAGGUUCCCUGGCUAUUUUAUUCCGGGUUCUUGCCUCCAUAUGAGAUAAGAUUCAAAGCAGAGACAUGGGCGAAGUGCAAGAAUGGGAGCAGCGUUUAUUUGAAGAGGCAGAGAGAAUGCACAUUGAGAUGUGAAUGUGGGAGAGAUGUGCGCCACGAGGCGAAUCCGUGUUCCCAUGAGGGGACAGGGUGCUUUGAGGAGAGGAAUGCUCCUGAGGGCACAGGGAUGCCCCCAGCUCAGUGGUCCCCUUCACUGGGUUGGAGCUGGUGCCCUAGUUGAGUAUAGAAACAGGGUGGGGUUUGAGGGGGUGUUCAGUAUGUGGGAGGACCUCUGAGAAGGCUUCAUGGCAACUCCACGUGGAACUCAGUGUGCAUGAGGAAGUGACUCGGUGCUCACCAUGGUGGCUUCUUCAUGCUGGAAGAGGCUCAGGUGCAUUGUGGGAAAGUGAAUGUGCUGAAAUGGCACCCAGGGGUUGGAGUUGGGGUACAGUGCUAGAGACAGAAACUGCAGGAAAUCUCUCAGCUCCAUUGUUCUCUACCUGGCACCCUGCCUGUCCCACAUCAUCAUCACAGACUAGUUAUACCUUUUGGCCCAGCUCAAAGUAGAUUUUAGCUAUAGUUCAUUCUAUCACACAAGAAUUUCAAGAGAACUUCAGGUCCAGAGUCCUUAAUUUUGUGAAAAGUUCAUUCAUUGUUACACUUUUUGGUAUUUAGGUUCAUAACAUCCAAAUGCACUCCAGACCCUCAGAUUGCCUCUCUUGUUAGUGUUUCAUGUUUGGGACUUUGGUGUCAUUGAUCUGGAGGAAGAAUGUUUAUAAGGGGCCAGUGUUGUGGUACACCAGGUUAGGCCACCUUUUACAACGCUGGCAUCCCAUAUUGGAGCACUGGUUCUAGUCCUAGCUGCUCUGCUUCUGAUCCAGCUCCCUACUAAUGCAGCUGGGAAGGCAUCAGAGGAUGGGCCAAGGGCUUGGGCCCCUGCCACCCAUGUGGGAGACCUGGAUGGAGCUCCUGGUUCCUGGCUUCAGCCCUGGAUGAUGCAGCCAUUAGGGGAGUGAACCAGUGGAUGGAAGAUCUCUCUCUCUCUCUCUCCUUUCUCUCUCUCUCUGGGUCUUUUCCUCUCUCUGUCACUCUGCCUUUCAAAUAAAAAAAGAUACGCAAAUCUUGUUUUAAGAAAUAAAUAAUGUUUAGGAGCCUAUCCCCUGUAAAGUUAGAGAUACUUUGAAAUCUAGAGUGCCAGAGCUGUGGCGCAUUAGUUUAAUCGUCUGCUUGCGGUGCCGGCAUCUCAUAUGGGCGCUGGUUCUAGUCCCAGUGGCUCCUCUUCCAGGCCAGCUCUCUGCUGUGGCCUGGAAUAGCAGUGGAGGAUGGCCCAAGUGCUUGGGCCCCUGCAGCCACAUGGGAGACCAGGAAGAAGCACCUGGCUCCUGGCUUUGGAUCGGUGCAGCUCUGGCUGUUGCUGACAUUUGGAGAGUUAACCAACGGAUGGAAGACCUUUCUCUCUGUCUCUCUCUCUCAUUGUCUGUAAUUCUACCUGUCAAAUAAAUAAAUAAUAAUAAUAAAAUCUUAAAGAAAUCUAGAGCAUAUUCUCAGAUUAACAUUUUGCUUUCUAACCAAACCUGUUCAGUGGUGUUUCUCAUCCAUAAAUAAAAACCAGGCAGAGUGAUGACAGCCCAGGGGAAAUGGGAGGGAGGGGGAAGGUCAAACAGAGGAGGAAGAGGAAUCCAGGAGA